CAGCAGCCGCGGUAAUAUGUAGGUGGCAAGCGUUGCCCGGAAUUAUUGGGCGUAAAGGGCUCGCAGGCGGUUUCUUAAGUCUGAUGUGAAAGCCCCCGGCUCAACCGGGGAGGGUCAUUGGAAACUGGGAAACUUGAGUGCAGAAGAGGAGAGUGGAAUUCCACGUGUAGCGGUGAAAUGCGUAGAGAUGUGGAGGAACACCAGUGGCGAAGGCGACUCUCUGGUCUGUAACUGACGCUGAGGAGCGAAAGCGUGGGGAGCGAACAGGAUUAGAUACCCGGGUAGUCCCUGUCUCUUAUAC
RNAcentral lists this ribosomal RNA (301 nucleotides) under uncultured bacterium. Its description in RNAcentral is "partial 16S ribosomal RNA". It matches the Rfam family "Bacterial small subunit ribosomal RNA", at positions 509 to 807 of the family's 1533-position model. The record is from RNAcentral.